Molecule: ribosomal RNA, 244 nt
Filed under: uncultured bacterium
Lineage: Bacteria
Description: partial 16S ribosomal RNA
Rfam family: Bacterial small subunit ribosomal RNA
Source: RNAcentral
UCAAACGGAUCCUUCGGGAUUAGUGGCGGACGGGUGAGUAACACGUGGGAACGUGCCCUUUGGUUCGGAACAACUCAGGGAAACUUGAGCUAAUACCGGAUGUGCCCUUCGGGGGAAAGAUUUAUCGCCAUUGGAGCGGCCCGCGUCUGAUUAGCUAGUUGGUGGGGUAAAGGCCCACCAAGGCGACGAUCAGUAGCUGGUCUGAGAGGAUGAUCAGCCACAUUGGGACUGAGACACGGCCCAA